UUAGUGAGCCUGUGAUCUCUGUAUCAAGGCAGACUAGCUUGAUGGUGGAGUUAGUGGGUUGGGAAGCCAGGGGAAGAGCAGAGUCUGGAGGAGGAGUGAGACACCAGAUUGAAUUGUACCCAGAGACAGGAUGAUCCCAGGGCCGGCUCCUGGAUUGGCUGAGUGUCAAAGACCGCUUCAUGGAGAGAUCCACAGAAUAGCAACCCAGGAGAGCUCUCAGGGCUAGCACCCAAGGUGCCCUUUGCCUUCUACCAGUGUACAUUUGGAUAUGCUCAGAAUUCAACUGGACAAGGUUUGGAGCAAUCUACUGUAAUUUAGCCUGGCCUUGAGUGGGGUGUUGAUCAAGAUGACCUCUGUACCUCCCUUCCAGCUUGUUUCAUUCUGUGUUUCUACAGUUUUAGUACC
This is a non-coding RNA of Cyanistes caeruleus (blue tit), 405 nucleotides long. NCBI's taxonomy places the organism in Eukaryota, Metazoa, Chordata, Aves, Passeriformes, Paridae. The record is from RefSeq and is a predicted model, not a curated record.